GGUGAAGGAAUUGAGGAAGCAGGACAUUACCCAUGAGUUUCCCAAGAGAGUUCCAAAUAAGUGUGGUCAUAAUUUUGAAUGGUGAUGGAUCGGUGAGCUCACGUUUGUGAUAUCGGCGAUAUCAUAUCGCAACGCAAAUAUCUACAUAAGGGCAAAAACAUUGGUGAAAUAAUGGCAGAAAAGAGUGUGGUGGUGGACAUCGUCUACUGCGGAGGAUGAGGUUACCACGCCAAGUUCCAGCGACUCAAACAUCAACUGGAACAUGUCUUCUCCGAUGGUCAAAUUAUCAUUCAUGGCGAGCCCACACCCAACAUUUCACACCGAUUUGAAGUUUGGAUCCGAGAUGGUCCGUUACUCCAUUCGAAACGGGGAGGCGACGGAAUGGUGGAUAACGACCAAAAAAUUGAAAAUAUUGUCCAACGGAUCCGAGACCAUUUGAGAGUCUCGGGAAACCCUAUUAACACCCCGUAAUUGUGUCUUUGUUAUUGCGUGAAAUGAAGCGAAUGACCCCAACUCUGCUCACAUGGAGAGGUCAUUUGUGGAUGAGUGCUCACGCGACAUUAUACGCAACAUCAUUAUACAUUUAUUAAAAGCUUUAUUAUUAUUACAAGACUAAUAAACUUAAAUGGUACAAAGCGGUAUAAAUACAGCA
Molecule: long non-coding RNA, 652 nt
Organism: Folsomia candida
Lineage: Eukaryota; Metazoa; Arthropoda; Collembola; Entomobryomorpha; Isotomidae
Exons: 5
Source: RefSeq, a predicted model, not a curated record